GUUUGGUUUUUAUUUUUUUAUUUUUUUUUUAGAAGUGGUUUGGAAAGAAAAUGCACAGUAAUAGUCACAGUCUAGUCAUAGUGGGCUUAGGAACUAGUGCAGUGCAAAAAUUACAAUUCCCUUCUCUUGCAACUCACUGUUGUGGCCACCAAAUAACAGUGCUACUUAUGAGAAGAGACAUUUUUGCCAAAGAAAAUAUUGCUGUUUUUUUUUUUAUUACAUGUCAUUUCAAAUGAGGGGUGUGUGCUUUCAGGGUUCGGAUGGCGUAAAAGGUCCUGUUGUGAACAGACCGGCCAAUUGGGCUUCAGAACAAAAUGUGGGUGAAUAAUCCUGGGAAUGAAUGCAUAAAAUGCAUUUUUUGCAUCUAAAGAAGCUUGUCCUGAUGGUGUGAUCUGAAGGAUGCCCACUAGAAGGCACAACACCCCGGUUUUGGUGAUUGGAGGUCCCAUAUGGCUAGAUUGAAGAAUGAAUGUUCUUCCAGUACUGUAAAAAGAAAAGUUUGGAGUUGGAGUGAAGGGUUUCCCAGCCAGACUUUUCUUGGAAGGUGAGAGCUGUUCCACAUCUUUGGAUCACUUUCAAAGGGGGUCAGCCACUUCUUUUCACUGGCGAUCCUUAACGCCGUGAUCCAACAUCAG
Cyprinus carpio (common carp) is the source of this 635-nucleotide long non-coding RNA. RefSeq lists it as uncharacterized. The record is from RefSeq and is a predicted model, not a curated record. Lineage: Eukaryota; Metazoa; Chordata; Actinopteri; Cypriniformes; Cyprinidae.